RNAcentral lists this ribosomal RNA (775 nucleotides) under uncultured Neocallimastigales. Its description in RNAcentral is "partial large subunit ribosomal RNA". It matches the Rfam family "Eukaryotic large subunit ribosomal RNA", at positions 24 to 645 of the family's 3401-position model. Lineage: Eukaryota; Fungi; Neocallimastigomycota; Neocallimastigomycetes; Neocallimastigales. The record is from RNAcentral.
UAUCUCUGUAGAGUCUGCAUAUCAAUAAGCGGAGGAAAAGAAACUAACAAGGAUUCCCUUAGUAACGGCGAGUGAAGCGGGAAGAGCUCAAAUUUGAAAUCUUCAAGGUUCUACCUUGACGAAUUGUAGUUUAUAGAAGUGUUUUCUGUUAGUAGAGUGGCAAAAGUUCUUUGGAAUAGGACAUCAUAGAGGGUGAGAAUCCCGUAUUUGGUCAUUCUUUCUAGCUUUGUGAUACACUUUCAACGAGUCGGAUUGUUUGGGAAUGCAGUCCAAAAUGGGUGGUAAAUUUCAUCUAAAGCUAAAUAUUGGCGAGAGACCGAUAGCGAACAAGUACCGUGAGGGAAAGAUGAAAAGAACUUUGAAAAGAGAGUUAAACAGUACGUGAAAUUGUCAAAAGGGAAGCGUUUGACACCAGUGUUGUUUUUCCGAAAAUCAAUUACGAAUGUUUUGUUUUUGAGAAGUUAUGGACUUCAUCGGCUUGCUUCUUUCUUUACGAAACUUUCUUAAUGCACUUUUCGGUUAACAAGUCAACAUCAAUUUCUUUUGUUGUAAAAGGGUACGAGGAAGGUGGCUUUCUUUUCGGAGAAAGUGUUUAUAGCCUUGUGCCCUCUGCAAUCGGAGAGAUUGAGGUCUGCAGCGUAGAUCCUUCGGGGUUAGAUACAUUUGUGCUAAGUUAUAGCUUUUCAUAGACAACUUGUUGACUAUGUUUAGUCUUGUAGCUUACUCGCUUAUGCUAUUUUACCUACGCUUAGGAUGUUGAUGUGAUACUGCGAGC